Molecule: transfer RNA, 65 nt
Filed under: Actinobaculum massiliense
Lineage: Bacteria; Bacillati; Actinomycetota; Actinomycetes; Actinomycetales; Actinomycetaceae
Rfam family: tRNA
About the family: Transfer RNA (tRNA) molecules are approximately 80 nucleotides in length. Their secondary structure includes four short double-helical elements and three loops (D, anti-codon, and T loops).
Source: RNAcentral
CCGUAGCUCAGUGGAUAGAGCGUCUGACUACGGAUCAGAAGGCCGGGGGUUCGAAUCCCUUCGGG